CAUUUAUUAAAAGAUAUAUAAAAACGCAGGUGAGCACGCGCAGAGUAUACUAGUGUCGCUACGAUUAGUUGCUGUGACAGAUUUCCUAACCUGUCAUACCGGUCAACUUUAACGUUUCAUAUCUCGCUUCACGGUGUGGAGCGACGACUUUAGUUUACAAAUUCGGUUUCUACGCGUUAAAAUACAUAAUUUAUGUGAAUUUCAGCGAAAUCAGAACUGAGAUGGCUUUCACCAAGCGAGUGUUGUACAAUGCCUCUUGAUUUUCCUUGCCCCCGAACCAAGUCAAAAGUGGCAUCAAGGAGUCCUGGAUGCUGUCCUUGAAACACAGAUUUACAGCUUCUUUAAAGUUGAAGCCACCGAUGUAAUGGAAAUAGUUGACCUGAAACAGAAAAGACAGCAUUGUUGUAAAGUUCUAUAUGAAUAUCCUGGAAAGCACGUAAUUGUGCGAUCGAUACUAUGGGGAACAUCUCUGGUCUACAUGGCACUGAAGUACAUUGGUUGGUGUUUUGCACACACUUGUAGAUAUUCUCCAAGAGUGUAUUCAUUUUCCUGACAACACAAGAUGGUAUAUGUCGUAAUCGGCAUUUCGAAAGGCCUCUGCGUUCCGAGUUCCAAACUCAAAUGCAAGCGGCCUUACGAACAGCUAAGGAGCGGCACAGGCACAGAAGACGAGGGACAACGGCAGGAGGACCAAGGAUCCAGAGGGACUUAUGAGGCGACAAUCGUGAGGAAGAACAAGAGGAAGAGCCCGAAAAUACAUAAAGAAACAAGAAGGAAAUAAACGGAUAUUUACAGAUGCGAUAAUCCACGGUCACAGGAGAGAGGGGUUGCCACAGGAGAGAGGGAUUCCACAUACACGCUCACACACACAUACACAUACACGUACACACACAUCACACGUAUUUCGCAGGGUCACUUGUGAAGUAGCGUGCUGCUCCUACGUCUCACAUCACACACAUACAUCACACAUACUCUACCCGAAGAGGGUGGAGCAAAUCGGCACUUUUCAGUGCCACAUUUUUAAGACGUUGACGUUGAUUGUUGCAAUAAACAAUCGGUACUUUUCAGUUCCACUCAAUAAAAGUUUAUAUUAUAUCA
Molecule: long non-coding RNA, 1098 nt
Organism: Harpegnathos saltator (Jerdon's jumping ant)
Lineage: Eukaryota; Metazoa; Arthropoda; Insecta; Hymenoptera; Formicidae
Exons: 5
Source: RefSeq, a predicted model, not a curated record